UGGUGGGGGAGUAGCCGGCUAACGCCCGGGUAAUACCGCAUACGUUCCUCUGGGGGAGUCCCUGGGGGAGGGAAAGCUCCGGCGCACGGGGAGGGGUUCGCGGCCUAUCAGCUAGUUGGCGGGGUAAUGGCCCACCAAGGCGACGACGGGUAGCUGGUCUGAGAGGAUGGCCAGCCACAUUGGGACUGAGAGACGGCCCAG
RNAcentral lists this ribosomal RNA (201 nucleotides) under uncultured bacterium. Its description in RNAcentral is "partial 16S ribosomal RNA". It matches the Rfam family "Bacterial small subunit ribosomal RNA", at positions 132 to 334 of the family's 1533-position model. The record is from RNAcentral.